GCAGUGGGGCGUCCGCGUCUGGGCUGCGGGCUUCCAGGCGGGCGCCUGCCGAGGCCCUGUCCCCGGAUCCCGAGUCCCUGGCUGGCCCGCAGUCUUCUUCCACUGCACCGGGGAAACGUUCUUGCCCCUACCGACUCCUGAGAGCCGCUGGGCCGAAUCUCCAGGAAGGCGAUUCCGAGGCCAGUUUUAGUCUGUAGUGGGUAAAGUCCCUCCUUCGUGGAGACUCCCUGGGUUUCUCCUAGACACUUAGAUUGAGGAGCUCCUGUUGGGGCCCAGCCUGUGGCGCCGGGAGCGGGAUCAGACGUGGAAACUGAGACCCACAGAGGUUGAAUAGGUUGUCCACAGUCUCGUAGCUACC
This 358-nucleotide small RNA is filed under the name Pan troglodytes (chimpanzee). RNAcentral describes it as "processed transcript". The record is from RNAcentral. Lineage: Eukaryota; Metazoa; Chordata; Mammalia; Primates; Hominidae.